This 796-nucleotide long non-coding RNA is filed under the name Lathyrus oleraceus (garden pea). RNAcentral describes it as "Pisum sativum (pea) long non-coding RNA (PSAT_LNC037727)". The record is from RNAcentral. Lineage: Eukaryota; Viridiplantae; Streptophyta; Magnoliopsida; Fabales; Fabaceae.
GAGACAUUCAGAGACUAUAAGCAACAGGACUCAUCAGAAAUAUUUGCUGAAUGACUUGUCGAACACCGGAAAGCAUUCUGAUAUUAUUUCUGAGUUUAUCAACAGAGAAAUCAAGUAUUCGGGCAUAGCAUCUUCGUCGGUUCACCUGCAUGGUAAUCUCAAGUUGGAAAGCAAACACGGAAUGCCUUUCUUUGAGUUCAAGGUGAAGUGCCCUGAAGAUGUUUUUUGUGGCCAAGACAUGGAGAAUAGGUAAUGGUUUCAAUUUUGUAUAUACCUUUCACUCCAUCGAUAAUAAUAGAAAGAAGAGUAAUGCCAUCGAGUUGGAGUCUCACGAUUUUGACAAGGAUUCCUCAGUAGUAGCAAAGAUGCUGGUUUCCAGUAAUUUAUGUUCUGAAAUAAAUGACAAAGUAUCCGACAACUCUAUGGUGACGGAAUUUGUGUUGUAUGAUCUUUCACACUCAAGACAUAGUGUUUCGUCCGGAAAAAAAGCCUUUAUGUGAACAAAAUGCGGUUAAAACUCGAAAAGCUUCCCGUGUUGAACCGAAAGAAGAAACUUUUGGGAUGGUUUUUGAAGAGAAGAUGAGCAAAGGUUACUGCAGCAACAUUGUAGAACCAACACAAGGCCAAAUGCAGCAUCCACAACCUCCCUGUUACAAGAAAUUCACUGCAGUAAAAAAUGUACGAUUAGUCCAAGCAGUAAAAUUUCAAAGAGAUCCCAAAUUGGCAUGAAGUCAAAACUGAGCAAGAAAGUACGAAGGUUCAGAUUACCAUUUUCGAACCUAGCAUCAAAGGGGUC